UACGUAGGGUGCGAGCGUUGUCCGGAAUUAUUGGGCGUAAAGAGCUCGUAGGCGGUCUGUCGCGUCGGUCGUGAAAACUUGGGGCUUAACCCUGAGCUUGCGGUCGAUACGGGCAUGACUGGAGUUCGGCAGGGGAGACUGGAAUUCCUGGUGUAGCGGUGAAAUGCGCAGAUAUCAGGAGGAACACCGGUGGCGAAGGCAGGUCUCUGGGCCACUACUGACGCUGAGAAGCGAAAGCAUGGGGAGCGAACAGG
This 254-nucleotide ribosomal RNA is filed under the name uncultured bacterium. RNAcentral describes it as "partial 16S ribosomal RNA". It matches the Rfam family "Bacterial small subunit ribosomal RNA", at positions 524 to 776 of the family's 1533-position model. The record is from RNAcentral.